CAGCUCAAAUUUGAAAUCUGGCUCUUUUAGAGUCCGAGUUGUAAUUUGCAGAGGGCGCUUUGGCUUUGGCAGCGGUCCAAGUUCCUUGGAACAGGACGUCACAGAGGGUGAGAAUCCCGUACGUGGUCGCUGGCUAUUGCCGUGUAAAGCCCCUUCGACGAGUCGAGUUGUUUGGGAAUGCAGCUCUAAAUGGGAGGUACAUUUCUUCUAAAGCUAAAUAUUGGCCAGAGACCGAUAGCGCACAAGUAGAGUGAUCGAAAGAUGAAAAGCACUUUGGAAAGAGAGUCAAACAGCACGUGAAAUUGUUGAAAGGGAAGCGCUUGCAGCCAGACUUGCUUACAGUUGCUCAUCCGGGUUUUUACCCGGUGCACUCUUCUGUAGGCAGGCCAGCAUCAGUUUGGGCGGUAGGAUAAAGGUCUCUGUCACGUACCUCCUUUCGGGGAGGCCUUAUAGGGGAGACGACAUACUACCAGCCUGGACUGAGGUCCGCGCAUCUGCUAGGAUGCUGGCGUAAUGGCUGUAAGCGGCCCGUCUUGAAACACGGACCAAGGAGUCUAACAUCUAUGCGAGUGUUUGGGUGUCAAGCCCGAGCGCGUAAUGAAAGUGAACGGAGGUGGGAACCCGCAAGGGUGCACCAUCGACCGAUCCUGAUGUCUUCGGAAGGAUUUGAGUAAGAGCAUGGCUGUUGGGACCCGAAAGAUGGUGAACUAUGCUUGAAUAGGGUGAAG
RNAcentral lists this ribosomal RNA (728 nucleotides) under Alternaria alternata. Its description in RNAcentral is "eukaryotic LSU rRNA". It matches the Rfam family "Eukaryotic large subunit ribosomal RNA", at positions 104 to 851 of the family's 3401-position model. Lineage: Eukaryota; Fungi; Ascomycota; Dothideomycetes; Pleosporales; Pleosporaceae. The record is from RNAcentral.